AUACGGAGGGUGCAAGCGUUACUCGGAAUCACUGGGCGUAAAGCGCGCGCAGGCGGCUAUUUAAGUUGGAUGUGAAAGCCUACGGCUCAACCGUAGAACUGCAUCCAAAACUAUUUAGCUAGAGUGUGGGAGAGGAAGAUGGAAUUAGUUGUGUAGGGGUAAAAUCCGUAGAGAGAACUAGGAAUACCAAAAGCGAAGGCAAUCUUCUGGAACACUACUGACGCUGAGGCGCGAAAGCGUGGGGAGCAAACGGGAUUAGAAACCCUAGUAGUCC
RNAcentral lists this ribosomal RNA (274 nucleotides) under uncultured bacterium. RNAcentral's name for it is "partial 16S ribosomal RNA". It matches the Rfam family "Bacterial small subunit ribosomal RNA", at positions 523 to 796 of the family's 1533-position model. The record is from RNAcentral.